ACCACUGCAGUUGAUUGGUUAACACCGUUAAGUGAAUCUGGUUUCCCCCCCCCCCCCCCCCCCCCNNNNNNNNNNNNNNNNCCCCCCCCCCCCCCCCCCCGUGCUCCCACCACCAGGGAAGCUGGCAACCAAGCUGGCCUUUCCUGUGGGGUCCAGCACAGCCCUCUUGCCCAGAGGGGCUCCAGUGACCAAAUAGCCGCUGCCUGUUCCACUUGCAAACAUCAUCUUGUUUUUUCGGGGUUUAAAACCAGUUUCUCACACACCCCCUUUGCUCAGUGUUGCUUCUGGCGUUUGUCCUUCAAGGCUGCCUCCCCGAUUCUCUCUCAACCAGCCGGUCCUGCAGGGCAGUCAGUUACUUUGCAAUUUGAGUUUGUGGUUAAAAGUUGCACUGACCAGGAAGCACAAGGGAGAUGCCACCCCCACCCUGUUGUGAGUCUGAUCUGCAGGAGCGUUGUAGAGCNUUGCACUGACCAGGAAGCACAAGGGAGAUGCCACCCCCACCCCGUUGUGAGUCUGAUCUGCAGGAGCGUUGUAGAGCAACGCCAAGCACAGAGUUCGAGUUCCGCUGGUGCUAAAUGGACUUUGGCUUCUCCGGACUUUGUCCCCAUAACCAAGAGAAGACCGGAGGCCCCCAAGAAGCCUCCAUGCCUUUGCUGGCUGCUGAGAUCCAGGCCUUGCGGGGGGGGGGGAUCCCGGAGCGCAAGGGAGCCGCUUCCUUUAGCACCGCGGAGAGCCGCCGGGUCGCGGGGAGAAGUCCGCGCCGGGCCCCGCUGCCCAUGGAAGGCGCUCCGGCAGGGCAGCGCAGGGUUCCCGCAAGCACGGCCGCCUCCCUUCGCAGGACGCGCUUCUCCGUGGGCUUCGGCCUGCCCUUUUGCACGGCCUCGCCCAGCCCUUCCCCGGAGCGCGGCUGGUUUGAGGCAGCGCUUCUUCCUCCGGGCUUUUGAGGAACGAUCGCAAGGCAGGCAGGCCGCCCACACCCGGGAGGGCGAGUGCAAAAUCCGGGACUGUCGGCUGCUGCUCGGUCCCCAACGCCUCUCCGGCUGCCGCAUCGGGGAAGCCGAGCCCGGUCCCAGCGCCUACGCAGCCGGCACGGAGCUCGGAAGCCGGCGCUCUGCACGCGCGCAGAGGACGCGACCGCUCCUCCCCGCG
RNAcentral lists this long non-coding RNA (1149 nucleotides) under Laticauda laticaudata (blue-ringed sea krait). RNAcentral's name for it is "lncRNA (ENSLLTG00000002916.1)". The record is from RNAcentral. Lineage: Eukaryota; Metazoa; Chordata; Lepidosauria; Squamata; Elapidae.